This 264-nucleotide ribosomal RNA is filed under the name uncultured bacterium. Its description in RNAcentral is "partial 16S ribosomal RNA". It matches the Rfam family "Bacterial small subunit ribosomal RNA", at positions 57 to 305 of the family's 1533-position model. The record is from RNAcentral.
GCAAGUCGAACGCGAAAGCAAUCUUCGGAUUGUGAGUAGAGUGGCGCACGGGUGAGUAACGCGUAAGUAAUCUACCCUCGCAUCUGGGAUAACCCACCGAAAGGUGUGCUAAUACCGGAUACGUCUAAGUUAAUAUCUUUUUUUUAGAGAAAGGUGGCCUCUGAUUCAAGCUACUGUGCGGGGAGGAGCUUGCGUACCAUUAGCUAGUUGGUAGGGUAACGGCCUACCAAGGCGACGAUGGUUAGCGGGUCUGAGAGGAUGAUC